CAGGAAGUAGUUUAAUUAGAACGUCAGCUUUGGGUGCUGAUAGUGAGGAGAAGUAUCCUCUUCUUGA
Molecule: transfer RNA, 67 nt
Filed under: Rhabdomys chakae
Lineage: Eukaryota; Metazoa; Chordata; Mammalia; Rodentia; Muridae
Description: tRNA-Pro
Rfam family: tRNA
About the family: Transfer RNA (tRNA) molecules are approximately 80 nucleotides in length.
Source: RNAcentral